GUUUUCCAGACAUCCUACACACGAUCCACGCGUCAAACAAAUGUCUAACGCGCGUCUGCACGCCCCAUUAGCAUUCAGUUGUAUGUACGCGCACGACGGGGCACAGGGGGGGAGCGGUGCAUGCUGCCGGCGUCGCGUGGAGGGAGAGAGAGACGAAGCGACGCCAGCUGAUCGACGCCGCGGCGCGGUGCGGCGCGGCGCAUCGCGACGUCGCGGUAUCUACGAUAGCGGCGGCGGCUAACGCCGCGUUGCAAUUCUCUCUCUCUCUCUCCCUCUCUCUCUCUUUCUUUCUCUCUCGCGGGCGAUCCUCAAUGUCACGUACGCCGAUAACGCGCCGCGGAAAAUAUCGUCGCGGAACGAGUGGCUCGGCUCGUCGGAAAGUCGCGCGCGGCCUCUCGGCGGUGACGGCGACGGUGAACAAUUGAACGCGUAACGAUCGUUAAAUGUCGGAAGGUACGUACGUACGUGUGCGUAAACGUCGCGCGGGAGCCGCGGGAGGCAGACGGAGAAUGAAGUAGAAAAAGAUGGGAGCGAGACGCGGACGGAGCGAGAGAGAGAGGCCAUGCUGAGACAAAUGAUUACGAUACGGGACCCGCGUCGAGUGUCUGCGAAAUGGAUCCACUCGCAUGCAGUGAUUGUAUGCACAUGCGGCUGCUUAUCGCUCACGGUACAACUACACCGCCGCGACCGAAAGAGAGACGGAGGCAGUGAGUGAGGGAACAACAGAAGGAGAGAAGGAGGAGCGGGGGAGAGGAAGAGAAAGAGAGAUAGAGAGAGAGGGAAAAGGAUGCGUAUAUGUACGGAACACGUGCGCACACAUAUACAUGCACACGUUCGCUGCACCGUGGUGCACCGUCGAGAGGGAGUACAAACGGCUGAAAGCGAAACGUAAACAAACAGCGAAAAUGAUGAGAAUGAAAAGAUUGACGGGAAGUGGCAAGAAUACCAACCGUUUCUUACCACCGUUGCCGAGGUGAUCGCGCAAGAAGAAGCAUCGAUUAUACCUAGAACAAAGUCUCAUCGAACUACAAAGGAAACUGGUCCUGUCUCUGUGGUCGGUUAUCUGCGUGGCCGCCGCGCUAAGGAGCCGAGGUCGUGGAGCGAAAGAUGCGUAUCUGGAUACUCGCGAGAGGGCAAAUGAGUAGGCGAAUAGUUAUGAGUCAUCGCGUAAAACGAAUGUCCCGAUCGACGCAAACGCUGGCGAAAGUCGUUGAAAAAUAUCGCCCUGUGGACGAACCACUUCGAAUAUAAAUCCAAGCUGGCCGUAAGAGAUGGUGGAAAAACAAAACACUCUCGAGUUAACGUCCGAAAUCAAUGCGUGUUAAUAAAACAUGCAUUUUUAUCUUUACCUCGGCCCGUUCGCAAAACUCGGUUUUUAUGUUUUCGCAAUUUUUCCGGAUUAUCGAUGCGCGUGGAACGUACGCCGAUUGAAAUACGGAUAAUUAAAAUUGCCGGAGCGUAAUUGACGUUAAUGUGUAAUAAAUACAAAACUCGCGGGUGUACAUUAGCGCGUUUGUACUUGAGAAAUAUAAGUCCUUGACAAACUAAAGGGAAACGGUCGAAUCGCAAAAAUCGUUUUCUCGCUGUGCGCCACUGAACCGGCACUGAUGGCUGUACGUGAUCAACUAGUGCAAAGCCGAUAAUGUGUACAAUUGUCUAACACGUUGUCGUAUCACACGAAAUAUCUCAUUGAUGCUGACGGCUGAUAUUUAUAUCAAUAAAUCAAAUUUCAGUGCGUU
Long non-coding RNA from Vollenhovia emeryi, 1739 nucleotides. RefSeq lists it as uncharacterized. Lineage: Eukaryota; Metazoa; Arthropoda; Insecta; Hymenoptera; Formicidae. The record is from RefSeq and is a predicted model, not a curated record. The transcript has 3 exons.